AUUGAACGCUGGCGGCAGGCCUAACACAUGCAAGUCGAACGGUAACAGGAAACAGCUUGCUGUUUCGCUGACGAGUGGCGGACGGGUGAGUAAUGUCUGGGAAACUGCCUGAUGGAGGGGGAUAACUACUGGAAACGGUAGCUAAUACCGCAUAACGUCGCAAGACCAAAGAGGGGGACCUUCGGGCCUCUUGCCAUCGGAUGUGCCCAGAUGGGAUUAGCUAGUAGGUGGGGUAACGGCUCACCUAGGCGACGAUCCCUAGCUGGUCUGAGAGGAUGACCAGCCCCACUGGACCUGAGACACGGUCCAGACUCCUACGGGAGGCAGAAGUGGGGAAGAUUGCACAAUGGGCGCAAGCCUGAUGCAGCCAUGCCGCGUGUAUGAAGAAGGCCUUCGGGUUGUAAGUACUUUCAGCGGGGAGGAAGGGAGUAAAGUUAAUACCUUUGCUCAUUGAUGUUACCCGCAGAAGAAGCACCGGCUAACUCUGUGCCAGCCGCCGCCGUAA
This 505-nucleotide ribosomal RNA is filed under the name uncultured bacterium. RNAcentral describes it as "partial 16S ribosomal RNA". It matches the Rfam family "Bacterial small subunit ribosomal RNA", at positions 30 to 523 of the family's 1533-position model. The record is from RNAcentral.